Molecule: ribosomal RNA, 102 nt
Filed under: Caerostris darwini
Lineage: Eukaryota; Metazoa; Arthropoda; Arachnida; Araneae; Araneidae
Source: RNAcentral
ACGGCCGUACCAUGCUGAAUAUACCGGUUCUCGUUAGAUCACCGAAGUUAAGCAUCAAAAGUAUGAAGGUGGGUGACCACCUGGGAACACUGCGUGCCGUUG